AUUGAACGCUGGCGGCAGGCCUAACACACGCAAGUCGAACGGUAACAGGAAGCAGCUUGCUGCUUCGCUGACGAGUGGCGGACGGGUGAGUAAUGUCUGGGAAACUGCCUGAUGGAGGGGGAUAACUACUGGAAACGGUAGCUAAUACCGCAUAACGUCGCAAGACCAAAGAGGGGGACCUUAGGGCCUCUUGCCAUCGGAUGUGCCCAGAUGGGAUUAGCUAGUAGGUGGGGUAACGGCUCACCUAGGCGACGAUCCCUAGCUGGUCUGAGAGGAUGACCAGCCACACUGGAACUGAGACACGGUCCAGACUCCUACGGGAGGCAGCAGUGGGGAAUAUUGCACAAUGGGCGCAAGCCUGAUGCAGCCAUGCCGCGUGUAUGAAGAAGGCCUUCGGGUUGUAAAGUACUUUCAGCAGGGAGGAAGGGAGUAAAGUUAAUACCUUUGCUCAUUGACGUUACCCGCAGAAGAAGCGCCGGCUAACUCCGUG
RNAcentral lists this ribosomal RNA (490 nucleotides) under uncultured bacterium. RNAcentral's name for it is "partial 16S ribosomal RNA". It matches the Rfam family "Bacterial small subunit ribosomal RNA", at positions 30 to 507 of the family's 1533-position model. The record is from RNAcentral.